CAACCCUCAGGCCCUGCCUGGCGUUGGAGGACUGCACUGCAGCCUCCCAAAGCAAGCGGCGGCGGCGCCCCAAAACCGAACGCAGUAGUUACAUCUCGUUCUGGAUCUGGGACGUUGUCCGGCCGGAAAACCCCCAACUAUCAAGU
Molecule: unclassified non-coding RNA, 146 nt
Filed under: uncultured Chaetosphaeriaceae
Lineage: Eukaryota; Fungi; Ascomycota; Sordariomycetes; Chaetosphaeriales; Chaetosphaeriaceae
Description: sequence contains ITS2
Source: RNAcentral